Molecule: ribosomal RNA, 342 nt
Filed under: uncultured Desulfobulbus sp.
Lineage: Bacteria; Pseudomonadati; Thermodesulfobacteriota; Desulfobulbia; Desulfobulbales; Desulfobulbaceae
Description: bacterial SSU rRNA
Rfam family: Bacterial small subunit ribosomal RNA
Source: RNAcentral
CGUGCAUGGCUGUCGUCAGCUCGUGUCGUGAGAUGUUGGGUUAAGUCCCGCAACGAGCGCAACCCUUGCCUUUAGUUGCCAGCAGUUCGGCUGGGCACUCUAAAGGGACUGCCGGUGUUAAACCGGAGGAAGGUGGGGAUGACGUCAAGUCCUCAUGGCCUUUAUGACCAGGGCUACACACGUACUACAAUGGCCGAUACAAAGGGCAGCGACACUGCGAGGUGAAGCCAAUCCCGUAAAAUCGGUCUCAGUCCGGAUUGGAGUCUGCAACUCGACUCCAUGAAGUUGGAAUCGCUAGUAAUCGUGGAUCAGCAUGCCACGGUGAAUACGUUCCCGGGUCUU